GCAGCCAUUUUGUUAGCUAGCUUGAGGUUAAAAGAGGUUAGCCGUGUGCAGCUGUGUUGGUAUACUCGCUUUGGUGGUGAAAUUGCGUCGAACUCGAUAACUCGUCGAAGUUGUUAUUGACGUACAAUUUUCGGCCACGCGCUCGUAAGCACGAGGAGGAGUCGUGUAUUUGUUGACAGCGCGUUGUAAAACUGGACGGCCAUUCAUUUUUCGAGCUGACUUCAGUGUGCUAGCUCAGUGGCUAGCUGGCUAACUUGUUUACGAGUGUCAUUUCUGGCAAAGAAACCAUCCCGGCUUUCAUGCCACCAGCUGUUAAACGCGAAAGAGUCGCAGAGUGACUGUUUCACGCAGUUCGCGUGUCUGCGCUUGUGUUACAUUAGCUUCGCGCACAGUUAACAGAAGUAAACUAAAAGCCAGGGGUAGAUCCGCUCGCACCACUCUGGUGUUUACUGAUAACUUGAGCUCUCUCAGCUGACCGUGCUUGGACCAGAGCUCAGCCAUCCUGGACACCAUGUCAGAGCUUUACAUUCGGGUGGCUGAGGAAGAAAAUGAGGAACCCAUGGAGAUCCCGUCAGAGGACGAUGGCACUGUUUUGCUGUCAUCCGUAGCAGCGCAGUUUCCAGGGGCUUGCGGGCUGCGAUACAGAAACCCAGAGACCCAGUGCAUGAGGGGAGUCCGGCUUGUGGAGGGUGUCCUGCACCCACCGGAGAACGACUGGGGAAACCUGGUGUACAUUGUCAAUUACCCCAAAGAUAACAAAAGAAAGAUGGAGGAAAUAGACGCUGCCACAGUUGUGAAAAUUAAAAGGGGCUUUCAGAAGACAUCGGAUCUUAUUGUCCUCGGGUUGCCAUGGAAAACAACAGAACAAGACCUCAAGGAUUAUUUCAGUACCUUUGGAGAGGUCAUCAUGGUGCAGGUGAAGAGAGAUGCAAAAACUGGCAAUUCAAAAGGUUUUGGGUUCGUCCGGUUCACCGACUACGAGACGCAAACCAAAGUCAUCGCUCAGAGACACAUGAUUGACGGGAGAUGGUGUGACUGUAAACUUCCCAAUUCAAAGGCAUGUCCCGAUGAGCCGAUGCGGAGCCGUAAAAUCUUUGUUGGUCGCUGCACAGAGGACAUGACAACUGAUGAUCUGAGGCAGUACUUCAUGCAGUAUGGUGAAGUCACAGACGUCUUCAUUCCCAAACCUUUCCGGGCGUUUGCUUUUGUCACAUUUGCUGAUGACCAGGUUGCCCAAGCUCUGUGUGGAGAGGACCUGAUCAUCAAGGGUGUCAGUGUGCACAUCUCCAAUGCUGAGCCCAAACACAAUAAUAGUAGGCAAAUGAUGGAUCGAGGGCGUUUCGGGGCUGUUCACCAACUCUUUCCCAAUUUCCCGGGAGGAAGCGCCUCAUUGGCAGCAAUGUUCGACAGAUCUCAGUAUCAUUUCCCCUCCUCCCAUGUGUAAAUGCUUUGUCAUCCAAGAACACAGCUUCACUCUGCAUAUACUGUUUUAGACGGGACCUCGGACACGGAAAGCCCAGGUUUUCGUCUGAAUGAAGGUUGGAGUCAGUUGCGUGGAAGACGAAGCCUUUGUUGGGUGUGCCGGUGCAAACCACAAUGAACCUUAAUCCUGAAAAGGAUCUUCUUCACCUCACUUGCAAGAAACCUUGGACCACCAAAUUUAGAGCGGACCAUACUCGGUGACAAUCAAGGUAUUUUUUUUUUUUUUGUCAUACAUAAAGUUGUCACAGUUGGGACGAAAGUAACACCUGCUGCAGCGAUCAUUCUUUUGUCUGGUCCCCAAUCUGUGAGACAGGUCUUGCUUUUCUAAAACUGGGUGUUUGUCAGUAAACACUUUAUUCUUUUGUCUCCCAACAGUCACUUACAUCAAAGUAUUAACCAGUCGGGUGUUUGAUGUGGUCAAAAAUGAUAUCGGUGUAGCAGGAAGCUGUCUUGUUCUGUUUACCUUGAUUGUAAAGUGGCUGAAAUGUAUCACCUGGCUGAUCCUUUUUUCUUUUUUUUUCCUCAUCAAAGGGACUUAACUGACUGAACAGCAGCAAUUCACACAUUGUAUUCUGACAUAUUAGUAUUGCAUUGUUAAAUAAAGGUUUGGAGUUUUUAAUCAUUGUGGUCUCUCAAUGUAGAUAAAAUGUGACUUUUUUUCAGGCCAUAAUCUCUAGUUUUCCUUGCUUUUAAUCCAUAUCUCUUUUUAGGAUUUAUUUGAAAACACGGAUUCAAUUCAGAUUUAGUCUUUUUGUUAAAACUGCUCUAGCAUCCUGCAGAAAGCUAGCUCAUAUAUAAUGUAUAUAGAAGAUUGACUAUAUAAACAGACUCUUUACAGUCUUUGUUGGUGGAUGUAAUUUAUAUUUUCCUCCUGAUGAUGGUGCUGUUGUACAGUUUUUGCUGAUUGUUGGACAGGACUCACAUCCCCUUCAUAUAUUAAAAUUUGAUAUUUUCCAUUUUUAAAUGGC
Molecule: RNA transcript, 2450 nt
Organism: Pelmatolapia mariae (spotted tilapia)
Lineage: Eukaryota; Metazoa; Chordata; Actinopteri; Cichliformes; Cichlidae
Gene: tardbpa
Gene name: TAR DNA binding protein a
Exons: 7
Source: RefSeq, a predicted model, not a curated record